Molecule: ribosomal RNA, 469 nt
Filed under: uncultured bacterium
Lineage: Bacteria
Description: partial 16S ribosomal RNA
Rfam family: Bacterial small subunit ribosomal RNA
Source: RNAcentral
GACGAACGCUGGCGGCGUGCUUAACACAUGCAAGUCGAACGGAAAGGCCCUGCUUUUGUGGGGUGCUCGAGUGGCGAACGGGUGAGUAACACGUGAGUAACCUGCCCUUGACUUUGGGAUAACUUCAGGAAACUGGGGCUAAUACCGGAUAGGAGCUCCUGCUGCAUGGUGGGGGUUGGAAAGUUUCGGCGGUUGGGGAUGGACUCGCGGCUUAUCAGCUUGUUGGUGGGGUAGUGGCUUACCAAGGCUUUGACGGGUAGCCGGCCUGAGAGGGUGACCGGCCACAUUGGGACUGAGAUACGGCCCAGACUCCUACGGGAGGCAGCAGGGGGGAAUAUUGCACAAUGGGCGGAAGCCUGAUGCAGCAACACCGCGUGCGGGAUGACGGCCUUCGGGUUGUAAACCGCUUUCGCCUGUGACGAAGCGUGAGUGACGGUAAUGGGUAAAGAAGCACCGGCUAACUACGUGC